Molecule: long non-coding RNA, 233 nt
Filed under: Theobroma cacao (cacao)
Lineage: Eukaryota; Viridiplantae; Streptophyta; Magnoliopsida; Malvales; Malvaceae
Description: long non-coding RNA (TCAC_LNC004425)
Source: RNAcentral
UGAAAUUAAGUGUACUAAAUCUGUGUACCCUUGUAUUAUGCUGAUAUGCAUUAUUAAUAAGUUAUGGUGAAAUUGAUGCAACCGUGCAUGUGCGGAGUGGGAAGUGCAAUGUCAGUUGAAUGACAAAGGAUGUGAUAAUUACGACCGUGCAUGUGCGGAGUGGGAAGUGCAAUGCCAGUUGAAUGACAAAGGAUGUGAUAAUUACGACCGUGCAUGUGCAGAGUGAGAAGUGC